UGUCCCCAUACGAGAUUCUAUUUGGGACUGCACCUAGGCUAGGUUGCUAUUUUCCCCAACAACUACAACUUCAAACUGAUGUUUUAGUAGAUUAUGUAACUGAACUUGCCAAUGCUUUGAACAAAAUCCAUGCCCAAGUUUUCUCUUCAAUUCCAGAUCCUGAUUCUGACACAGGCAACCACAGUCUGCUCCCCGGUGACUGGGUUCUGGUCAAGAAAUUUGUGCGAAAGCACACCCUGGAACCAAGAUUUGACGGACCGUUCCAAGUUCUCCUGAUCUCCCCUACCUCUGUCAAAUUGACCGGAAGGCCUAACUGGAUCCACGCUUCCCACUGCAAGAAGACACCUGCCCCAGAGGAAGC
This is a non-coding RNA of Pelobates cultripes (western spadefoot toad), 361 nucleotides long. Lineage: Eukaryota; Metazoa; Chordata; Amphibia; Anura; Pelobatidae. The record is from the annotation of a GenBank genome assembly.